RNAcentral lists this small RNA (91 nucleotides) under Arabidopsis thaliana (thale cress). RNAcentral's name for it is "ATSL253060". The record is from RNAcentral. Lineage: Eukaryota; Viridiplantae; Streptophyta; Magnoliopsida; Brassicales; Brassicaceae.
AUUUACAAUAACUAUAUGACUAAUUAACUAAUCAUUACAUACGCUUAGUUCAAAUUAACUGGAAAAUCAUUACAUCAUAAAAGCUUAGCGU